AGCAGUAGCCGCGGUAAUACGGAGGGUGCAAGCGUUAAUUGGAAUUACUGGGCGUAAAGCGCACGCAGGCGGUCUGACAAGUCAGAUGUGAAAUCCCCGGGCUUAACCUGGGAACUGCAUUUGAAACUGUCAGGCUGGAGUCUUGUAGAGGGGGGUAGAAUUCCAGGUGUAGCGGUGAAAUGCGUAGAGAUCUGGAGGAAUACCGGUGGCGAAGGCGGCCCCCUGGACAAAGACUGACGCUCAGGUGCGAAAGCGUGGGGAGCAAACAGGAUUAGAUACCCGUGUAGUCCCUGUCUCUUAUAA
RNAcentral lists this ribosomal RNA (303 nucleotides) under uncultured bacterium. RNAcentral describes it as "partial 16S ribosomal RNA". It matches the Rfam family "Bacterial small subunit ribosomal RNA", at positions 507 to 809 of the family's 1533-position model. The record is from RNAcentral.